This 334-nucleotide ribosomal RNA is filed under the name uncultured eukaryote. Its description in RNAcentral is "partial 18S ribosomal RNA". It matches the Rfam family "Eukaryotic small subunit ribosomal RNA", at positions 1470 to 1796 of the family's 1831-position model. The record is from RNAcentral.
CCCUUAGGUGUCCGGGGCCGCACGCGCGCUACACUGAAGGAAUCAGCGUGGCUUUCUCCCUGACCCGAAAGGGUUGGGAAACCCGUUGAAUCUCCUUCGUGAUAGGGAUUGGGGCUUGAAAUUGUUCCCCAUGAACGAGGAAUUCCCAGUAAGCGCGAGUCAUAAGCUCGCGUUGAUUACGUCCCUGCCCUUUGUACACACCGCCCGUCGCUACUACCGAUUGAACGGUUUAGUGAGGGCCUCGGAUUGGUCUCGGCCCGCUCUUUACCGGGCGGCGCCGUUGGUCGAGAAGACGCUCGAACUUGAUCGUUUAGAGGAAGUAAAAGUCGUAACA